AUCACAUGACCCGGCCCUGGGCAGGUCACGUGGCGUUAGCCUUGAGAGAGCAGCACAUCCGGGUACUGGGUGGAAGCAGCCCCUCUAAUUUGUCAGGUGGUGAAAGCAAAUUCCGAGUUCUUUGCCAGGGUAGCUGCAUUCAAAUGGGAGGGAUCAAGUCCUGCAGUUGUGUUAGUGCUCAUGUCAACUCGUGAGAUGGCAGAGAUGACAGCCUUUAGGUCAUGGAAAUAAGUAUCUAAGCAUUGACCUAGUUAACUGGUUUCCUGAUGUUCUGUAAACUAUACUAGCCAGUGGUUUUUUUUCUUCAUAGAGGCAGCUGUGCUAAUAUGCCUUUACCCAGUUCACUGUCAAAUUGUUUGUAACCAAAAGGCUGCACAGGUGCCAGUGGUCAGGUACACUAUUUACCUUCAUGCACUUUAAAUAAUUUAACGUCUCUUUUUUUUGCAGUUGAAUUGCAAAAAAAAUUACAUGUUGUUCUCAGUAAGUAAUGCUGUAGCGUACAGGUUUUCACCUUUUAGUUUACUACAUUAUUUUCAAGCUGAAAGCUUUCUUUUGUAUUAUGGUAUGGCUCAGUCUUACUGCAUUUCUCUGUUCAAGCGGGAACAAGUAGACAUUUUCAGCUAUCUCUGAAUGCACUAUUUGGCUUUUCUCUCUACUUUGACUUUAUGAAUGUCAAAGUUAAGUCUACUUUGUUUUUGCAUGUUGUUCUUUUUGUACCUGUUAUGAUCUAUAAUGUAAAUCCUCCAUUUCAAAUAAAGUGUUUGUUUGAGAAAAGUGAGGUA
This is a long non-coding RNA of Micropterus salmoides (largemouth bass), 782 nucleotides long. RefSeq lists it as uncharacterized. The transcript has 2 exons. Lineage: Eukaryota; Metazoa; Chordata; Actinopteri; Centrarchiformes; Centrarchidae. The record is from RefSeq and is a predicted model, not a curated record.